UUCUGAAGGGCCUAAUCCACUUAGCCCUUAACUCUGCUAACAUGCAGGUCUACUUAUCUAUAAAGAGAGGCAACAAUUUGAACAUUGCUAUGGACAUCUGUAGACAUCUUUCAGUGGGAAGCUGAAAAAUUUUCACUAUAGGAAGACAUUACCAUUUCUGGCAAUGGUCAGAUCACCAGAUUCCAGGGGGAGGUCAGGUCCAUGCUCUUUCUACUGCAUCCUGCUGACAAGAAGGGAAAGUGUGGGAACUGAUGGAGGUUCAGCAGGCUCUGUUGUCAGCCCAACAAAAGCACCAAAGAAGUUUCCUGGCUGACAUUUUACUACAUCAUCACGUACGGCGAACUGGAUUGUGAAUGCCCUUAGAUGCCAUUGGAAGGGAUUUAGAUUUCACUUUCUAAGUAGGCAAUGCGAGUCCAUUCAGAGAUUGUGAAGUGGAAGAAUAUCAUGAUCAGAUCUGUGUGGCUGAUGAAUAGAGACAAAUCUGAUGUCUGGGGUUAUAUUAUUGAGAUUCAAUAAAUGCUAAUUCUAUACUUA
Molecule: long non-coding RNA, 534 nt
Organism: Homo sapiens (human)
Lineage: Eukaryota; Metazoa; Chordata; Mammalia; Primates; Hominidae
Exons: 3
Source: RefSeq, a predicted model, not a curated record